Molecule: ribosomal RNA, 253 nt
Filed under: uncultured bacterium
Lineage: Bacteria
Description: partial 16S ribosomal RNA
Rfam family: Bacterial small subunit ribosomal RNA
Source: RNAcentral
GACAGAGGGUGCAAGCGUUGUUCGGAAUCAUUGGGCGUAAAGCGCACGUAGGCGGCGGAGCAAGUCGGAUGUGAAAGCCCAGGGCUCAACCCUGGAAGUGCAUCCGAAACUGCCUCGCUCGAGUCCCGGAGAGGGUGGCGGAAUUCCGAGUGUAGAGGUGAAAUUCGUAGAUAUUCGGAGGAACACCAGUGGCGAAGGCGGCCACCUGGACGGAGACUGACGCUGAGGUGCGAAAGCGUGGGGAGCAAACAGG